CCUACGGGAGGCAGCAGUGGGGAAUUUUGGACAAUGGGCGCAAGCCUGAUCCAGCAAUGCCGCGUGAGUGAAGAAGGCCUUCGGGUUGUAAAGCUCUUUUGUCAGGGAAGAAACGGCAGUUUCUAAUACAGAUUGCUAAUGACGGUACCUGAAGAAUAAGCACCGGCUAACUACGUGCCAGCAGCCGCGGUAAUACGUAGGGUGCAAGCGUUAAUCGGAAUUACUGGGCGUAAAGCGUGCGCAGGCGGUUUUGUAAGUUUGUCGUGAAAUCCCCGGGCUCAACCUGGGAAUGGCGAUGAAGACUGCAAGGCUAGAAUCUGGCAGAGGGGGGUAGAAUUCCACGUGUAGCAGUGAAAUGCGUAGAGAUGUGGAGGAACACCGAUGGCGAAGGCAGCCCCCUGGGUCAAGAUUGACGCUCAUGCACGAAAGCGUGGGGAGCAAACAGGAUUAGAUACCCUGGUAGUCCACGCCCUAAAACGAUGUCUACUAGUUGUUCGGUUUUAAUUAACUUGGUAACGCAGCUAACGCGUGAAGUAGACCGCCGUGGGGAGGUACGGUCGGUCGAGAAGUUAAACGUUAAAAGUUAAAGUUAGUACGGCGUUGAGACGUUGCCGACGGACGACGACGAGGGAGGAGG
Molecule: ribosomal RNA, 637 nt
Filed under: uncultured bacterium
Lineage: Bacteria
Description: bacterial SSU rRNA
Rfam family: Bacterial small subunit ribosomal RNA (bases 1-543)
Source: RNAcentral